Molecule: long non-coding RNA, 2705 nt
Organism: Brassica oleracea var. oleracea
Lineage: Eukaryota; Viridiplantae; Streptophyta; Magnoliopsida; Brassicales; Brassicaceae
Exons: 4
Source: RefSeq, a predicted model, not a curated record
UCCAAGAGGUUUUUGGUGGUUUUUCUUAGGAUAAAAGAUAAUCAGCCUCCAAUGGCUUACAAAAGGUACUUAAACAUAGGUUUAGAAAGUGUAAAAUGUACAUAACGAAAUGACCAAAAAGCCCUUGAUAAAUCAUAAGUUCGACCAAACAGACGACGCGCAGCGACCUCGGGUGGUCGCUCCAACACGUCGCUACGGGCUUCGGGAGUGACCUGGGGUGGUCGCUCUGGCAGGUCACUCCGGAUCCAUCUUUUGUAUCUCAAGACGAAAAAGGGCGAGCGACUUCGUGGCGUCGCUCCGGUAAGGUCGCUCUGAGAGGUAGGGCACAGCGACUUCGUGGCGUCGCUCCGGUCGCUCCCAUGCCCUUCUCGUCCAAUGAUCACCUUUAUCACCUCUUUUGAGCUCCAAAUGCACCCAAAUGUCUCCGAGAAUUCCAUGUGGUACUCCAAUACCUAAUAAAGACUCAUGUAUGCAAAAUGCAACAUAAAUAUAGCUAAAUCCUAGUUUAUAUGACCAAAAUGCACUUAGGUGAAUGGAUAAAAUAAUGAAAAUAUGCAAGAUAUCACAAUCUCUCUCGGAGAGACUCUCAUGCAUCACAAAGUUUCUUCUCUAUCCUCUGUUUUGUACUAACAAAGAAAAAGACAGAUAGCGUCUUAACUGAGGAAAACAUGGGUAACACUUAUAGAUGUUCCCAAUUUAAUUAAUCUCAAAACUUCGAACUCAUACUAUUCAUUCUAAAAUGACGAACACACAUCAUUCAAAAUAGAGUAGAUAGUACUUUUAAAUAUUAAGUUUCUUGGAAGAGUAAUAAGGUUGUCAAGCGACCAAGAAUAUUUCUCAAAACCAUAAGCUAUUGCUCACCUUAUUUUAGGCUGCUCUUAUCAUAUUUAUAAUUUUUCUUUGGGAUCCUUUCUUUAGUCCCUAUCUAGUAUAUCUCGUUUUUGUGAAAGACAGUUCUUCAUAUGAGAUACUCAAUAUAGUUCAUGAGAUUUAAGUUGUUCUACUAAUUUAAUAACUGUUAAUGUAAAUGAUUACCAUCUGAUAACUUUCUAUGUGGUGGAAAGCUGCUGAUGAGAAACUUUUUCAUGUUAUAACCUGAUUCCGUGAGCUUUCAUUGGUUUGUUCUCUGGGUCAUGAUUUCUGGAUUCUGACUUCAUUGUGUCUUAUCCGCAUUAUACACAAAAGUGGUUGAGAAAGAUGGAAGUUGCAUAUAGACAUGAGUUUGGUGCGUACUUUAAAACAAAGGUUAUACAUGUAGUACCUUUGUCCCUUACCCAAUAUAGAAACAUUUCUAGUAUGCUUUCGACAAAGCCAAUGGUAAGUGGGCAGCUUGAUUUAAAGUGGUGCAAAGUAGUUGAGGUAUUUUUUUUUGUGAACCAAAGUAGUUGAGGGUUUCUAGGAACGCAUGAUCCCUUAAGAUUAGUAGAUAUUACUUUUGUCCAAUGAAAACUAUAAUUAAAUAUGAGGAAAUCUGAGCUCAAAUUAUUCCCAUAAGAAAGCGUUUCAAGUGAGCGGGUCAGUCUGCGAUGUAAUAACUUCACGUUCCGAGAGAGAAACACUCGAGGAAAUUGUUCAGCUAUUGAGUAUGGGAGGAAGCUUGGCUUUCAGCUAUUGAGUAUGGGCCUUCAGCUAUUGAGUAUGGGAGGAAGCUUGGCUUGAAUGGUGAUGAUGAUGUUACCAAGAAGGACGACACUUCUUCUACCUCCUUUUAUGUUGAAGAUGAUGCCAACGGUUUCACACCAAGAAGCUUUCCUGUGUGUGAUGGCCGGCACUCGGAGCUUUUAUUCCUUUAGAUUGGAAUCUCAUUUACCAGAUGAGAUUGAAGCUUGAUUUGUCUUUGAUGGAGCAUUAUGAACGCCACUGUCCUCCUCCUGAAAGAAGGUUUAACUGCUUGAUUCCUCCUCCUCCUGGUUAUAAGGUGAGUUUCAUUUCUUCUACUCUGUUGGUCUUGACAAGACGAGGAGGAUCUCAGAAUAUGGAGGGAAAUGAGUGCUCUUGUGGAGCGUAUGUGUUGGACGAUAGCUGCUAAAAGGAACCAAACUGUGAUUUGGCAGAAACCAAUGACAAACGAUUGCAGCGCAGAGGAUUUGUUGUUGGAGAUGGAUCGUAUACUAAGGCCAAGCGGGUUCAUACUCAUAAGGGAUAAACAAUCUGUAGUUGAUCUUGUGAAGAGGUAUCUCAUGGCUUUGCAUUGGGAAGCAGUUGAUUAGCUCACUAUAAAUCUGCCACUCAAAAACUACGUUGCAAAGGAACAAAAUAAAUUAGUCUACCGUCCUAAAAUUCACCGGGUAACAUGCAGCCGUCCAAAUAUCUAUGGUCAAUUCCUAAAAAGGAAUUCUAAAGCACAUGGGAUGAUGAUAAAACUUCAUUCUCUUUGUAUGUUGGUAUAUCCCAAAAGAUUGAGAAUCGUCGAGAGACUAAAGUCAGUCAGUGGCAUCAAUAUAACAAUAUGAUGACAUUUACACACAGAGAACAACAUUCAGUCAAUAUCCUUUAUGACCGAGGUAAAUCCAAGUUUAUGGAUUGGAUGGAGAAUAACAAACUACAUUCUGAAGGUGUAAAUCUAAAGUCUUCAUAUUGCUGUGCCAUUCGUAACUUUGUUUGGGAUCCAAAAGCUAAAACAUGGAAACCGAAUUUUAAGAUUUGAAGAUUACUAUCAGAUGUUUAUGUCUUUGUCGUAAUUUUCUUUUUAUGUUUAAUUUUUC